This 93-nucleotide microRNA precursor is filed under the name Notamacropus eugenii (tammar wallaby). Its description in RNAcentral is "miRNA (ENSMEUG00000017606.1)". The record is from RNAcentral. Lineage: Eukaryota; Metazoa; Chordata; Mammalia; Diprotodontia; Macropodidae.
AUAUCUGUGUGUGUAUAUGCAUGUGCAUGUGUAUAGAAAUGCACAUGCAUGCACACACACACACACACACACACACACACACACACACACACA